CUGGCGUCGGUGCUGGGGAGUGGUUCCUGGGGUGGCCCUCCACUCCGACCCAUCCUGGGGUCUGCAGUCUUGCUUCGGGCUCG
RNAcentral lists this microRNA precursor (83 nucleotides) under Otolemur garnettii (small-eared galago). Its description in RNAcentral is "mir-1343 microRNA precursor family". It matches the Rfam family "mir-1343 microRNA precursor family". Lineage: Eukaryota; Metazoa; Chordata; Mammalia; Primates; Galagidae. The record is from Rfam by way of RNAcentral.